Molecule: long non-coding RNA, 1230 nt
Filed under: Nicotiana benthamiana
Lineage: Eukaryota; Viridiplantae; Streptophyta; Magnoliopsida; Solanales; Solanaceae
Description: long non-coding RNA (NBEN_LNC028349)
Source: RNAcentral
GAAAAGCUUGAGGGUCGAUGAUGAUGAUUUUGUGGACGAUUCACCCAAAGUUCAAAAAACAAAAAUACAGAAGGUGUCUCAUUCCCCUUCAAAGCAAAAAAAGUUGAAACAUUCUAAAUAAACCACAAAAUUGGUUCCACAACAAGUUUCAGUGAAGGUAAACAACUUUUUUUUUCUCGACAAUAUUUUGUAGUUUAAUAUUUUUUUUGCCAAACAAUUAGAAUUCAAUUGUUUUUUUGGCGUCUAAGUGUUUUUUGUAAAAAUAUAAUGUAUUAUUGCAUAUUAGGGUUGCUUAUACAAAUUGUAGUUAAUUGUUAUUAUUCGGAGUUAAUGUGUAAUUGUUUGGCAGAAUAUAGUAUAUUAGGGUUGCUUAUACAAAUUGUAGUUAAUUGUUAUUAUUCGAAGUUAAUGUGUAAUAGUUUGGCAGAAUAUAGUGUUGAAUCAAAUUUGUAGUCAAUUGUAGGUUUUUGUAGUUUAAUGUAAUGUUUUAUUUGGAAAUGUCACAGUUGACUCAAAAUUGUAAUUUUUUGUAGUUUUUUGUAGUUUUUUGUAGUUUAAUGUAGUUCAAUGCAAUGUUUUAUUUGGAACUGUUUUAGUUUACCUAAAUUUGAUUGGCAAAUUAUACUGUUGAAUCAAAUAUGUAGUUAACCGUAUUUUUUUGUAGUUUUAUGUAAUUUUUAUUUAAUACUGUCUCUGUUGACUCGAAUUUGAUUGGCAGUUUAUAAUGUCGAAUAAAAUUUGUAGCUAAUUGCAGUUUUUUGUAUAUUAAUGUAGUUUCUUGUAAUUUUUAUUUGGAAGUGUCACUAUUGACUCAGUUUUGUAGUUAAUUAUAGUUUAUGUAGUUUACUGUACUUUUUAUUUGGAACUGUUAUAAAAAUACAGUAGAUAUAAAUAGUUACAUUGUUCAUGCUCAAUAAAUUUAUAGUUAGAGUAUAGUUCCUUGUAGUUAUACUGUAGUUUGUAGGUUAAAAUUUAUGUUAUACUUUUGGAAAAUAACUUCUACUGAGAAUGUAGGAAAAAUGUAGUUUGUAUGUUAAAAAUGUAGUUAUAUGAUUUGUUACAUUAUAUAUUGUAAUGCUGAAAUCUAGCUUCAUUCUAGCGACAAUUAAUAUAUUUUUUUUGCAGAAUGGACCUUGCUAUGCUCAACAUAAUGUUGAUUAUGGUGUGAUACGGUUCCAUAGCUUGUGCGAUCCAACGAUACCUAGCCAGAUAAAGUCUUUAUUAUCCCCA